This 68-nucleotide small RNA is filed under the name Alteribacillus bidgolensis. RNAcentral describes it as "Bacillus sp. P4B(2010) Bacillaceae-1 RNA". It matches the Rfam family "Bacillaceae-1 RNA". The record is from Rfam by way of RNAcentral. Lineage: Bacteria; Bacillati; Bacillota; Bacilli; Caryophanales; Bacillaceae.
GUUUAAGGAACUUUUGCUAAAAUCGCGAACAUCGUGUUCGCACCGCAAAAGUCAGCACAUCCUGUGCA